This 460-nucleotide ribosomal RNA is filed under the name uncultured bacterium. Its description in RNAcentral is "partial 16S ribosomal RNA". It matches the Rfam family "Bacterial small subunit ribosomal RNA", at positions 338 to 795 of the family's 1533-position model. The record is from RNAcentral.
CCUACGGGAGGCAGCAGUGAGGAAUAUUGGUCAAUGGGCUUACGCCUGAACCAGCCAAGUCGCGUGAGGGAAGACUGCCCUAUGGGUUUUAACCCUCUUUUGUCAGGGAGCAACGCCGGCUACGUGUAGCCGGACUGAGAGUACCUGAAGAAAAAGCAUCGGCUAACUCCGUGCCAGCAGCCGCGGUAAUACGGAGUAUGCGAGCGUUAUCCGGCUUUAGUGGGUUUAAAGGGUGCGUAGGCGGAAUGCCAAGUCAGCGGGAAAAUCGCGGGACUCAACCUCGCUCCGACGUUGAAACUGGCGUUCUUGAGUGGGCGAGAAGUAUGCGGAAUGCGUGGUGUAGCGGUGAAAUGCAUAGAUAUCACGAAGAACACCGAUUGCGAAGGCAGCAUACCGGCGCCCAACUGACGCUGAAGCACGAAAGCGUGGGUAGCGAACAGGAUUAGAUACCCUUGUAGUC